This 77-nucleotide transfer RNA is filed under the name Bdellovibrio bacteriovorus. Its description in RNAcentral is "tRNA-Pro". It matches the Rfam family "tRNA". Rfam says of the family: Transfer RNA (tRNA) molecules are approximately 80 nucleotides in length. Their secondary structure includes four short double-helical elements and three loops (D, anti-codon, and T loops). Further hydrogen bonds mediate the characteristic L-shaped molecular structure. tRNAs have two regions of fundamental functional importance: the anti-codon, which is responsible for specific mRNA codon recognition, and the 3' end, to which the tRNAs corresponding amino acid is attached (by aminoacyl-tRNA synthetases). tRNAs cope with the degeneracy of the genetic code in two manners: having more than one tRNA (with a specific anti-codon) for a particular amino acid; and 'wobble' base-pairing, i.e. permitting non-standard base-pairing at the 3rd anti-codon position. The record is from RNAcentral. RNAcentral also lists the same sequence under 4 other names. Lineage: Bacteria; Pseudomonadati; Bdellovibrionota; Bdellovibrionia; Bdellovibrionales; Pseudobdellovibrionaceae.
CUGCGUGUGGCUCAGCUUGGUAGAGCACUUGCUUGGGGUGCAAGAGGUCGCUGGUUCAAAUCCAGUCACGCAGACCA